AUUGGGGACUCUGAUGGUGAGCAAAAAGUAUUGAUCAAGAAAUUUGUAAACUUUCGCAGGAUCGAUGGAAAAAGAACAAGAGUUCAUGCUAUUGUGUAUAAAACUUUUCACCACCUAACUCGAACUGAAUGCGAUGUAAUAAAACUUAUGGUUGAUGCGGUAGAUAAUAUAGAGCCAAUAUGCACGUAG
RNAcentral lists this ribosomal RNA (189 nucleotides) under Triticum aestivum (bread wheat). RNAcentral describes it as "partial small subunit ribosomal RNA". The record is from RNAcentral. Lineage: Eukaryota; Viridiplantae; Streptophyta; Magnoliopsida; Poales; Poaceae.